AUCUUCAAUUAAAAAGUGAUGCAUCUUAGUAAUCUUACUUUUUUUUUUCUCGCUUAUUUAUAAUCCCUCACACAGUGUCACACACAUACAUACACACACACAUUGGCAGACUGGCUGCAUGGAGCAGCACAUAAUCCCCCAGCAUCCUCAUGAGAUCCUGCUGUCGUGUAUGGGACGCCACUAUAUAAAUGUAUUGGUGACCUUCAAGAAAGGAAAUAUGAACAAGUUCUGAACUCCUAUUGGGCUGUCAAAUGAAAUAUGAACAAAUUGCAGAAUCUUAAUGAACUGUCAAGGAGAUAUGAACAAGUUCCAUACACCUAAUAAGUUCUCUAAGGAAACAUGAAUAGGUUCUUAACUCCUAAUGAGCUGUCUAAGUAAACAUGAACAUGUUGCAGACUCCUUUAGUUGUCAAGGAAUUAUGAAUGAAUUUCAAACUCCUUAUAAGUUGUCUAAUAAAAUAUAAACAAGUUGCAAACUC
Biomphalaria glabrata is the source of this 478-nucleotide long non-coding RNA. RefSeq lists it as uncharacterized. The transcript has 2 exons. Lineage: Eukaryota; Metazoa; Mollusca; Gastropoda; Planorbidae. The record is from RefSeq and is a predicted model, not a curated record.